GGAAAUGUUAACUAGCUAACGAACUUUCUGUGAACUCAUGUUUUCACUCUACAGUAUGUGGUUAAUUUUCAGAAUGAGAUAAUUAGGUGAAAAAAUGAGGCGUUGCUUGUUAAACAAGUGGAUUCAGGGAUCAAGUGUAGCUGGAGCUGGGCCUGACUUAAACUGGAUGCCACUAUAGAGGUGAAAGAAAUACCACUUUCCCUCUUUCAAUACAGUGGAUAAGAAGGGGUGUGCCAGGUGUGUUCUCUGCCUGAAAGACAAAGAGAUCAAUUAUACCAACGAAGGGUCUCCUGCUCUGCUGGCACUUUGUAGAACAGAUGUCCCCAUGGCAGAAAGUGUGCAGUGUGUUAGUGUGCAGUGUGUUAGUGUGCAGUGUGUUAGUGUGCAGUGUGUUAGUGUGCAGUGUGUUAGUGUGCAGUGUGUUAGUGUGCAGUGUGUUAGUGUGCAGUGUGUUAGUGUGCAGUAUGUUAGUGUGCAGUAUGUUAGUGUGCAGUAUGUUAGUGUGCAGUAUGUUAGUUGUAUUAGUGUGUUAGUGUGUUAAUGUGCAGUGUGUU
This is a long non-coding RNA of Oncorhynchus tshawytscha (Chinook salmon), 554 nucleotides long. The record is from Ensembl. NCBI's taxonomy places the organism in Eukaryota, Metazoa, Chordata, Actinopteri, Salmoniformes, Salmonidae.